GUGGUGGCUCAGUGGUAGAACACUUGCCUACUGCACAUGAGGCACUGGGUUCGAUCCCUAGCAUUACA
RNAcentral lists this transfer RNA (68 nucleotides) under Marmota monax (woodchuck). Its description in RNAcentral is "tRNA.Ser". Lineage: Eukaryota; Metazoa; Chordata; Mammalia; Rodentia; Sciuridae. The record is from RNAcentral.